GAUGAACGCUGGCGGCGUGCCUAAUACAUGCAAGUCGAGCGAACAGACGAGGAGCUUGCUCCUCUGACGUUAGCGGCGGACGGGUGAGUAACACGUGGAUAACCUACCUAUAAGACUGGGAUAACUUCGGGAAACCGGAGCUAAUACCGGAUAAUAUAUUGAACCGCAUGGUUCAAUAGUGAAAGACGGUUUUGCUGUCACUUAUAGAUGGAUCCGCGCCGCAUUAGCUAGUUGGUAAGGUAACGGCUUACCAAGGCGACGAUGCGUAGCCGACCUGAGAGGGUGAUCGGCCACACUGGAACUGAGACACGGUACAGACUCCUACGGGAGGCAGCAGUAGGGAAUCUUCCGCAAUGGGCGAAAGCUUGACGGAGCAAAGCCGCGUGAGUGAUGAAGGUCUUCGGAUCGUAAAACUCUGUUAUUAGGGAAGAACAAAUGUGUAAGUAACUAUGCACGUCUUGACGGUACCUAAUCAGAAAGCCACGGCUAACUACGUG
Molecule: ribosomal RNA, 497 nt
Filed under: uncultured bacterium
Lineage: Bacteria
Description: partial 16S ribosomal RNA
Rfam family: Bacterial small subunit ribosomal RNA
Source: RNAcentral